This 545-nucleotide ribosomal RNA is filed under the name fungal endophyte sp. DM219. Its description in RNAcentral is "eukaryotic LSU rRNA". It matches the Rfam family "Eukaryotic large subunit ribosomal RNA", at positions 104 to 653 of the family's 3401-position model. The record is from RNAcentral. Lineage: Eukaryota; Fungi.
GAGCUCAAAUUUAAAAUCUGGCGGUGUAUUCCGUCCGAGUUGUAGUCUAGAGAAGCAUCAUCCGCGCCGGACCAUGUACAAGUCUCUUGGAACAGAGCGUCAUAGAGGGUGAGAAUCCCGUCCUUGACAUGGACUCCCGGUGCUUUGUGUUGAGCUCUCGACGAGUCGAGUUGUUUGGGAAUGCAGCUCAAAAUGGGUGGUAAAUUCCAUCUAAAGCUAAAUAUUGGCGAGAGACCGAUAGCGAACAAGUACCGUGAGGGAAAGAUGAAAAGCACUUUGGAGAGAGAGUUAAACAGUACGUGAAAUUGUUGAAAUGGAAACGCUUGAAGUCAGUCGCGUCUUCUGGGAUUCAGCCUUGCUUUUGCUUGGUGUAUUUCCUAGUCUACGGGCCAGCAUGGAUUUUGACCGUUGGAAAAGGGCUGGAGGAAUGUGGCACCUUCGGGUGUGUUAUAGCCUCCUGUCGCAUGCAUCGGUUGGGAUCGAGGACCUCAGUGCACGCUUCGGUUGUGCUUUGAUGCUGGCGUAAUGGCUUUAAACGACCCGUC